CCUACGGGAGGCAGCAGUGAGGAAUAUUGGUCAAUGGGCGCGAGCCUGAACCAGCCAAGUCGCGUGAGGGAAGACGGUCCUAUGGAUUGUAAACCUCUUUUGUCGGGGAGCAAAAGACGCCACGCGUGGCGUUCCGAGAGUACCCGAAGAAAAAGCAUCGGCUAACUCCGUGCCAGCAGCCGCGGUAAUACGGAGGAUGCGAGCGUUAUCCGGAUUUAUUGGGUUUAAAGGGUGCGCAGGAGGAAGAUCAAGGCAGCGGUAAAAUUGAGAGGCUCAACCUCUUCGAGCCGUUGAAACUGGUUUUCUUGAGUGAGCGAGAAGUAUGCGGAAUGCGUGGUGUAGCGGUGAAAUGCAUAGAUAUCACGCAGAACUCCGAUUGCGAAGGCAGCAUACCGGCGCUCAACUGACGCUCAUGCACGAAAGUGUGGGUAGCGAACAGGAUUAGAUACCCCUGUAGUC
This 459-nucleotide ribosomal RNA is filed under the name uncultured bacterium. RNAcentral describes it as "partial 16S ribosomal RNA". It matches the Rfam family "Bacterial small subunit ribosomal RNA", at positions 338 to 795 of the family's 1533-position model. The record is from RNAcentral.